GAUGAAGAACGCAGCGAAAUGCGAUAAGUAGUGUGAAUUGCAGAAUUCAGUGAAUCAUCGAAUCUUUGAACGCACAUUGCGCCCCUUGGUAUCCCGAGGGGCAUGCCUGUUCGAGCGUCAUUUCACCACUCAAGCCUGGCUUGGUGUUGGGCGACGUCCUCUUUGGGGACGCGCCUCGAAACGCUCGGCGGCGUGGCACCGGCUUUAAGCGUAGCAGAAUCUUUCGCUUUGGAAGUCGGGGCCCCGUCUGCCGGAAGACCUGCUCGCAAGGUUGAUCUCGGAUCAGGCAGGGAUACCCGCUGAACUUAAGCAUAUCAAUAAGCGGAGGA
This 329-nucleotide unclassified non-coding RNA is filed under the name soil metagenome. RNAcentral's name for it is "partial contains 5.8S ribosomal RNA, internal transcribed spacer 2, and large subunit ribosomal RNA". The stretch from base 1 to 120 matches the Rfam family "5.8S ribosomal RNA", at positions 35 to 154 of the family's 154-position model. The record is from RNAcentral.